CAAAGGUAGCAUAAUCAUUAGUUUUUUAAUUGAAAACUGGAAUGAAAGGUUGGUCAAAGGAAAAGCUGUCUUCAAUAAUAAUAAUUGAAAUUUACUUUUAAGUGAAAAGGCUUAAAUAUUUUAAAGGGACGAUAAGACCCUAUAAAGCUUUAUAUAUUAUUUAAAUUUGAUCAAUUUAGCUUAUAAAGGUUAAAGUUAUUUUUUGUAUUUUGUUGGGGAGAUGUGAGUAUAAUUGUUUAUAACUGCUUAGGUUAAAUACAAUAAUAAGUGAGUAAAAAGUGAAUGAUCCUUUAUAAAGAUUAUGAGAUCAAGUUACUUUAGGGAUAACAGCGUUAUUUCUUCUUGAGAGUUCAUAUCGAAAGAGAAGUUUGCGACCUCGAUGUUGAAUUAAAAUGUCUUUGUAGUGCAGCCGCUGCGAAAGAAGGUCUGUUCGACCUUUAAAUUUUUACAUGAUUUGAGUUAAAACCGGGAUUC
Molecule: ribosomal RNA, 474 nt
Filed under: Lachnopodus subacutus
Lineage: Eukaryota; Metazoa; Arthropoda; Malacostraca; Decapoda; Xanthidae
Description: partial 16S ribosomal RNA
Rfam family: Bacterial large subunit ribosomal RNA
Source: RNAcentral